This is a long non-coding RNA of Phyllostomus discolor (pale spear-nosed bat), 292 nucleotides long. RefSeq lists it as uncharacterized. NCBI's taxonomy places the organism in Eukaryota, Metazoa, Chordata, Mammalia, Chiroptera, Phyllostomidae. The record is from RefSeq and is a predicted model, not a curated record. The transcript has 2 exons.
ACAGGUAGACUCAGAUGUAUAGAUGGUGACUAAGAAAAUUAUCAUAUGGUCACAACUGGCAGUUGAAUCCCCAUGCAGGAUGGAAGAGCUUUGAUGAGAGUAGAGUAAAAUAAUUCUUCUAUUACCUACCCACAAAAAAAAAUAAAAGGUCUUUAACUUCUUUUCUGAAACACAGAUCACCAAAGGGAGAAACUGCUAUGAGUAUGUGGAUGGAAAGGACAGGUCCUGGGCCAACUGGAUGAGGUAUGUGAACUGUGCCCGGGAUGAUGAAGAGCAGAACCUGGUGGCCUUU